RNAcentral lists this non-coding RNA (111 nucleotides) under Goniomonas pacifica. Lineage: Eukaryota; Cryptophyceae; Goniomonadida; Goniomonadaceae. The record is from RNAcentral.
UCCUCAGGCGAGUCGGGGAAGCCUCCUCCCAUGGGGACUGGGGUCACCGCUGCCACGGGGGUCGCUGCUGCAGGAGGGGGCCCGACAGGGGUAGGAGCUGGAACUGCGCCC